GCCUUGUUAGCUCAGUCGGCACAGCGUGGUGCCGUGGUGCUAACAACGCUAAGGUCGUGAGUUCGAUCCUCACACAGGCCA
This is a non-coding RNA of Paramuricea clavata, 81 nucleotides long. The record is from the annotation of a GenBank genome assembly. NCBI's taxonomy places the organism in Eukaryota, Metazoa, Cnidaria, Anthozoa, Malacalcyonacea, Plexauridae.